RNAcentral lists this ribosomal RNA (301 nucleotides) under uncultured bacterium. RNAcentral's name for it is "partial 16S ribosomal RNA". It matches the Rfam family "Bacterial small subunit ribosomal RNA", at positions 509 to 807 of the family's 1533-position model. The record is from RNAcentral.
CAGUAGCCGCGGGAAUACGAGGGGGGCAAGCGUUGUUCGGAAUUAUUGGGCGUAAAGGGUGCGUAGGCGGUUUGGCAAGUUUGGUGUGAAAUCUUCGGGCUCAACUCGAAGUCUGCAUCGAAAACUGCCGGGCUUGAGUAUGGGAGAGGUGAGUGGAAUUUCCGGUGUAGCGGUGAAAUGCGUAGAUAUCGGAAGGAACACCUGUGGCGAAAGCGGCUCACUGGACCAUAACUGACGCUGAUGCACGAAAGCUAGGGGAGCAAACAGGAUUAGAUACCCCCGUAGUCCCUGUCUCUUAUAC